AAAAAAAAAAAAAAAAAAACCUGCAACCAAAUUAUUGUUUGUGUUCAUUCUUCAUACACAGCAGUGAGAAAAAAAGAAAGACACGUCAGUGAUUAAAUCAGCAUUUUAACAAAUUUAUUAUUGUACAUUGUAUCACAGUUUCAAAUGAUUUUGGGUUCUGGGAAGUUACAAAAAGCUAGUCCCUCGGUCAUACAAGCACAAUGUUUUAUUUGUUCACAUGCCACAACUUUUGAUUAUGUAACAAAGCAAAACAUAUUGAUCCUGCAUUUGCUCGUAAGUCCCAUUUUUGCACUUCUUGGUGACAAGCAACAGAUACAUGGGCCACCAAUGAUAAGGGAUUUGAGAGUAUCCACAGAGACUAUGUUGGAAUGAGGAAAGAGAAAUGAAUUCCGGAGUUUGCCUUUGGUUAUCAUCUACUCAGCACAUUUUGGUACACUCAAAAGCAAGCAAAUAGCUACCAAAUAGACUUCAUGACAAUAAAAAUUAACCAACCCUAUAAAGGAUAAAAAAGCUAUAACAGUGGAGAUGCUGCUUUCCCAAUAUAGGUUGUGAACAUUAAAAGAUAGAUAAAAAUAAUAAUAAUAAUAAUA
This 590-nucleotide unclassified non-coding RNA is filed under the name Hevea brasiliensis (rubber tree). Lineage: Eukaryota; Viridiplantae; Streptophyta; Magnoliopsida; Malpighiales; Euphorbiaceae. The record is from RNAcentral.